This 253-nucleotide ribosomal RNA is filed under the name uncultured bacterium. RNAcentral's name for it is "partial 16S ribosomal RNA". It matches the Rfam family "Bacterial small subunit ribosomal RNA", at positions 524 to 776 of the family's 1533-position model. The record is from RNAcentral.
UACGGGGGGGGCAAGCGUUGUUCGGAAUUACUGGGCGUAAAGGGCUCGUAGGUGGUCAACUAAGUCGGACGUGAAAUCCCUCGGCUUAACCGGGGAACUGCGUCCGAUACUGGUUGGCUUGAGUUUGGGAGAGGGAUGCGGAAUUCCAGGUGUAGCGGUGAAAUGCGUAGAUAUCUGGAGGAACACCGGUGGCGAAGGCGGCAUCCUGGACCAAUACUGACGCUGAGGAGCGAAAGCCAGGGGAGCAAACGGG